ACUUGGCCUACAGCUCUCAACCCCCUGUGGGAGAGGAAGCGUGCAGGUGAGCAGGUGCAAGAGCUGGAGCAAGCACUUUUGGACACUGACAGGACCAAAACUCCAUGCACGCUGGUGGUAACAUCAAAGGGAGAGCAUGUGAAGAGACAGAAACCAACAAGGACAGCAAGAAUGGAGAAGAAACAACAGCAACAAUGUUUUAUGCAAGCUGAAAAGCAGAUUUGUGAAUUAUAACCAACUCAGUGGGUCUGAGAAGAUGGAAUCCUGAGCUGGCCGUGGGGGAAGGCAUGAAGGGGACUAAUUCCAUAAAGGAGUCUAGUUCCAUAGAGGGGCUUAGUUCCAUAGAGGGGCCUAGUUCCCCAGAGGAGCCCAGUUCCAUGGAGGGGCCUAAUUCCAUGGAGGGACCUAAUUCCAUGGAGGGGCCCAAUUCCAUAGAGGGGCCUAAUUCCAUGGGUGGGCCCAUUUCCAUAGAGGGGCCUAGUUCCAUGGAGGGUGGGGGAAAAAUGCUGCCAGUCUCUUUGGUAAAACAUAACAAGAGUCACCUUUACUCCAUUUCCUAACAAGUUGCUCAUCUCCAUCUGAGACCACCUCAGCCUGCAUUUCAUUGUCCGUAUCAUUAUCAGCAUUUUGGUCAAAGUCAUUCAACAAGUCUCUAGAAAGUUCCAAACUUUCCCACAUUUUUUCAAUCUUCUUCUGAGCCCUCCAAACUGUUCCAACCUCUGCCUGUUACCCAGUUCCACAGUCACUUCCACGUUUUUGGGUAUCUUUUCAGCAAUGUUCCAGAAUACUGGUACCAAUUUACUGUAUUAGUCCGUUUUCACACUGAUUAUAAAGACACACCAAAGACUGGCCAAUUUACAAAAGAAAGAGUUUUAACGGACUUACAGUUCCACGUCACUGGGGAGACUCACAGUCAUGGCGGAAGGUGAAAGGCAUGUCUCACAUGGCGGCAGACAAAAGAAGAGAGCUUGUGCAGGGAAACUCCCCCUUAUAUAAUCAUCAGAUCUCCUGAGACUUAUUCACUAUCACAAGAACAGCACAGGAAAGACCCACCCCCAUGAUUCAAUUACAUCCCAAUGUGUCCCUCCCACAUGUGGGAAUUCAAGAUGAGAUUUGGGUGGGGACACAGCCAAACCAUAUCAAGGCCUAAUUCCAUAGAGGGGCCUAGUUCCAUGGAGGACCUAGUUCUGUGGAGGGGCCUAAUUCCAUGGAGGAACUUACUUCCAUGGAGAUCCUAAUUCCAUGGAGGAUCUAGUUUCAUGGAAGGGCCUAAUGCCAUGGACCUAAUUCCAUGGAGGGGCUUAAUUCCAUGGAGGGGCCUAGUUCCCUGAAGGGGCCUAGUUCCCUGAAGGAGCCUAGUUCCCUGAAGAAGCCUGAUUCCAUAGAGGGACCUAGUUCCAUGGAGUCGCCUAAUUCCCAGGACCCAUGGCUCUUUAGGAAGAGACACUGGAGUGUGUGAGAAAAGUGUGCUGUGGGAAAUGUGAAAAUUCAAAGGCUUGUUGAGAAGAUGGGCCCAGGAUCGAUCAUCAGCCUCCUUACCACCAGCACAAAGAAAGGCAAUUCUUCUCUGAAAGGCAAAAUAGAGCAACUCUGCACUGACAUAGCACGUGUUGUUCAGGAUGUGGUGCCAAAUUGAAAAAAAGAAAGGGACUAAAUAAAAGUUUAAACACUUCGUGUUAAAA
Molecule: long non-coding RNA, 1682 nt
Organism: Symphalangus syndactylus (siamang)
Lineage: Eukaryota; Metazoa; Chordata; Mammalia; Primates; Hylobatidae
Source: RefSeq, a predicted model, not a curated record